RNAcentral lists this ribosomal RNA (1289 nucleotides) under metagenome. RNAcentral's name for it is "bacterial SSU rRNA". It matches the Rfam family "Bacterial small subunit ribosomal RNA", at positions 243 to 1520 of the family's 1533-position model. The record is from RNAcentral.
AGCUUGUUGGUGGGGUAAUGGCCUACCAAGGCGACGAUGGGUAGCCGGCCUGAGAGGGUGUCCGGCCACACUGGGACUGAGAUACGGCCCAGACUCCUACGGGAGGCAGCAGUCGAGAAGCUUCGGCAAUGGGCGAAAGCCUGACCGAGCGAUGCCGCGUGAGCGAAGAAGGUCCUUUGGAUUGUAAAGCUCUGUCAGAUUGGGAAGAAAACCUUGGGGUUAAUACCCUCAAGGCUUGACGGUACCAUCAGAGGAAGCACCGGCUAACUCCGUGCCAGCAGCCGCGGUAAUACGGAGGGUGCAAGCGUUGUUCGGAUUCACUGGGUAUAAAGGGUGCGCAGGCGGUUUGAUAAGUCAGAGGUGAAAUAUGUCGGCUCAACCGGCAAACGGCCCCUGAAACUGUCAAACUUGAGUCCGAGAGAGGUAGGUGGAAUUCCAGGUGUAGCGGUGAAAUGCGUAAAUAUCUGGAGGAACACCAGUGGCGAAGGCGGCCUACUGGCUCGGAACUGACGCUCAGGCACGAAAGCUAGGGGAGCGAACGGGAUUAGAUACCCCGGUAGUCCUAGCCGUAAACGAUGGAUACUAGGUGUUGGAGGAUUCUACCCCUUCAGUGCCGCAGCUAACGCAUUAAGUAUCCCACCUGGGGAGUACGAUCGCAAGGUUGAAACUCAAAGGAAUUGACGGGGGCCCGCACAAGCGGUGGAGCAUGUGGUUUAAUUCGAUGCAACGCGAAGAACCUUACCUAGGCUUGACAUGCAGGGGACAGAUGUAGAAAUACAUCCUUCUUCGGACCCCUGUACAGGUGCUGCAUGGCUGUCGUCAGCUCGUGUCGUGAAAUGUUAGGUUAAGUCCUGCAACGAGCGCAACCCCUGUCUUCAGUUGCCAUCAGGUAAUGCUGGGAACUCUGGAGAGACCGCCGGUGACAAACCGGAGGAAGGUGGGGACGACGUCAAGUCAUCAUGGCCCUUACGCCUAGGGCUACACACGUGCUACAAUGGUCGGUACAAAGGGCUGCAAUACAGCGAUGUGGAGCGAAUCCCAAAAAACCGGCCUCAGUUCGGAUUGUAGUCUGCAACUCGACUACAUGAAGUUGGAAUCGCUAGUAAUCGCGUAUCAGAACGACGCGGUGAAUACGUUCCCGGGCCUUGUACACACCGCCCGUCAAGUCAACCGAGUUGGUUGCACCCCAAGUCGCUGAGCUAACCCCUUCGGGGGAGGCAAGUGCCCAAGGUGUGAUUGGCGAGGGGGACUAAGUCGUAACAAGGUAGCCGUAUCGGAAGGUGCGGCUG